RNAcentral lists this long non-coding RNA (866 nucleotides) under Malus domestica (apple). RNAcentral describes it as "long non-coding RNA (MDOM_LNC016621)". The record is from RNAcentral. Lineage: Eukaryota; Viridiplantae; Streptophyta; Magnoliopsida; Rosales; Rosaceae.
GAUUUGGGGGUUAUUGUGGAAUUUGAGAGAAAAUAAUGAAAAAGUGGCUGGAAAUUAAGUCAAGAAAGGGCUGAAAAAUCGAGAGAUUUAGGAGCUCAAAAAGACAAGUUUGUUGAAGAAGAUGGCCGAAAAGUGAAAUGGAUUUAAUGGGCAAACAGUUAACUUUGGAAAUCGUGGGUUAGUGCAAAGGCUUGUUUAAAAUGUCUAAUUUAGUGGCACUAAUACCCAGUUUCAUUAUGCAAUUUAUUUUAAUCAUUAUCAAUAUCUUGAUUAGCAGACUUGACAAUGAUUAAAGGGGGCACUGUUUGAGUGGAUAUUUAAUGCUGGGCUUAGUGACAGUGGAAGCCUAAGAACACAAAAAGCAAAGGGAAAAUUAGGCUCAGACAAGUCGACAGCCCAGGAGAAAUUAAAAAUCAUUUCUUAACAAUGAAUAUGCAAUAAGCUUAUGCAAGAAGUGACACUCAGAAGAGCAGCUCACCUUCAGCAAAAAGGACUUUUCGAUGGCAUGGAUAGGUAAAUAAGUGGUGACUCACCAUGUUCUGGAGGCCAUCACCAAAUGGCAAGGCUUGGACAGUUGAGCCAAAAAGUCUAUAAACGCAGCAUGGGACACCAAAGACAAUGACACUUAACCAAUCAAUCAAAAAACAUCUCACUUUACUCUCAGACAAGCAAGAAACCAGAAAGCUUUAGUUUGUCUAGACUUUGUUCUCUUAGCCAUAAAUUCACCAUAGAAAGACAUCUUUUGUCAAGAUUUAGAAGCUCUGCUACUUUUCCCCUACGUUGUAGUAUCGAAUCCCUUUAGUAAAAGGCGUUUUACCUUUCAUUCUCCAAAGAUUACAACCCUUGUAAAACACAAAGAGAAGUGG